Molecule: long non-coding RNA, 1180 nt
Filed under: Monodelphis domestica (gray short-tailed opossum)
Lineage: Eukaryota; Metazoa; Chordata; Mammalia; Didelphimorphia; Didelphidae
Description: lncRNA (ENSMODG00000043264.1)
Source: RNAcentral
AUGUUGUCAAAUGAUGUGUUUUUUUCCUUGUAUGUGUGUGUGUGUGUGUGUGUGAGAGAGAGAGAGAGAGAGAGAGAGAGAGAGAGAGAGAGAGAGAGAGAGAGAGAGAGAGAGAGAGAGAGAGAGAGAGAGAGAGAGAGAGAGAGAGAGACAGAAAGAGAGAAAGAGAGAGAGAAUUGAACAUGGGCCAGACCCAUCUUUGCCUAUCUGUCUUCUUGUCCCUAAGAGGUCCUUGGCCAAAUAGUGAGUCCAUGACUAAAGAAUGGAAAGUUUUCUCUAAUAUUGUAUCCUAAAACAGUAUUCUAAUACUCCUUCUGAGACCCAGUCUUCCUUGAGGUUGUAAGGACUUACUGCUACUCCACAUCAUCAUUUUUAUAUUGGGUCAUUUUUCUGUGACUCUGACUCUGGUGUGGUAGCAGGAGCAUUACACACACACACACACACACACAAAUAUACACACACAUACACACUGGGAGCAAAACCCUAUUAACUAAGAGUAAACUCUAGAAUCAAUAAUCUCCAAAAAAGCAUGGUUUAAAAGACAUACAUUUUGGGAUAUGGAUAAUCAUUUAUAUAUGCACAUAUAUAUUACAUCUAUACACACAUGCACACAUAAAUAAGUGGCAGAAAAAGAGGGAGAGAGAGAGAGAGAGAAGAGAGAAACAGACAGAAAAGAAAGAGAAACAGAGACAAAGACUGAGAGAUAGAGACACAGAAAGGUACUUGUAGAUAAAGCUUCCAUUCCUAAUUUUGGUGUUUGUCUCCUUCCAUUAGAAGAGAAUAGUUGAGAUGAAUAGGGUACUUGAACCUUGGAGGAUUUAUUGAUUCUAUUGCUCUAUGUAAAAUACUCUUACAAUCAAAACUUCAAAAAUUCUUCCUUAAUUUCUAAAUAAGGUCAUACAGGAUGGAGAAAAAGAACAAAAGGAAAAAGUGCUACCAACACUGGAGAAUUCCUUUUGGAACAGGGAGGUAUUCCCUUGAUUCUUAACCUUGAUCUGACUCCCUAGAGUUAAAAGGAAUUCCCAGAGCAUCUGCCCUCUGUACAAGUGAGAUCAUUCUCAAUAUUUGAUCAAAACUGAAUGUUGGCUAUAUUACUUCAUUUUCUUUAGCUUUCUUGGGAUGGAACAAGUGCUUGUGCAAUGAGAAGGAUGGACAGGGUUAAAUGCUAUAACAUGGUACU